AGAGUUUGAUCCUGGCUCAGGAUGAACGCUGGCGGCGUGCUUAACACAUGCAAGUCGAACGGGGAUGCCAUUUUUGAAGCGAAUAGCUUGCUAGGAGUGGAAAUGUUGGCAUCUUAGUGGCGGACGGGUGAGUAACGCGUGGGGAACCUGCCCUGUACAGGGGGAUAACACUUAGAAAUAGGUGCUAAUACCGCAUAAGCGCACAGGAUCGCAUGAUCGAGUGUGAAAAACUCCGGUGGUACAGGAUGGACCCGCGUCUGAUUAGCUUGUUGGUGAGGUAACGGCCCACCAAGGCGACGAUCAGUAGCCGGCCUGAGAGGGUGGACGGCCACAUUGGGACUGAGACACGGCCCAAACUCCUACGGGAGGCAGCAGUGGGGAAUAUUGGACAAUGGGGGGAACCCUGAUCCAGCGACGCCGCGUGAGUGAAGAAGUAUUUCGGUAUGUAAAGCUCUAUCAGCAGGGAAGAAGAUGACGGUACCUGACUAAGAAGCCCCGGCUAACUACGUGCCAGCAGCCGCGGUAAUACGUAGGGGGCAAGCGUUAUCCGGAUUUACUGGGUGUAAAGGGAGCGUAGACGGUACAGCAAGUCUGAUGUGAAAGGUCGGGGCCCAACCCCGGGACUGCAUUGGAAACUGUUGGACUGGAGUACAGGAGAGGUAAGCGGAAUUCCUAGUGUAGCGGUGAAAUGCGUAGAUAUUAGGAGGAACACCAGUGGCG
RNAcentral lists this ribosomal RNA (720 nucleotides) under uncultured bacterium. RNAcentral's name for it is "bacterial SSU rRNA". It matches the Rfam family "Bacterial small subunit ribosomal RNA", at positions 8 to 717 of the family's 1533-position model. The record is from RNAcentral.